AUCAGCUUUGCCAGAGUCAGCACAGCUGGGGAAAGAGAGAGCUGGCAGAUGUAUUAUCCCUAGGUGAGAAAGAUGACAAAGCCUGAUUCUUCUAACUCAGCAUGGUUGUGUGGGUAAGGUGGUGCACUAGGAUCAAGAAAUCCGGUUUUGGUUCUUGACAUGUUAAGCCCACUCCAAUCACCAGCACGUGUCCAGCUCUCCUAGGCUGGGUCUGCAAAAGCCUCUAAUCCAGCUGCCUUCGUCCUUCAUUCUGGUCUCAGCAGAAGAGAGCCCAGAUGCAGGCGGAUGCGGUUGUGGUGAUGGAGCACACACAAUCUGUCAGGAAAAAGAUCUGUGGACUGAGGUGGAUUCACAGGAUCAGUGUCACAUCACACGUGGGCAGGAGGAGCAUUUCCACGCCUAGCUGAGGGGAGGCACAAGCGUGAAGAAUUCAGAGCAAUCAGAAACGGAUUUCACACCCCAGCGAAUGUAUUCACAUGUGACCGGUUCUGACAAGAAAUUGACUUUUGUUCACUCUAAUAACCUUAGGUCUGUGGGUCUGAUUAACACCUAUGUCAAAACCUGGGUGUAUCUGGGUGUGAUCACACCUACGUCAAAGUUGCUGGGCUAUUCCAGAACAAGUUUUCACACCCUAGCCCCCAACUCGCCCACACCCGUGGGUGCUGGUUCGUUGCCAUAGUUACCCAGUCCUCCACUGCUCAGCGUGCAACAUGUCUCAGUUCUCACCAGAAGAUGAACUCCUGACAAGGCGGGAGAAUGUCCAGGAGACAGGGCUAUGGCCAGGCAGUGAGGGGCUGGGUCAGAGGUCGCUAUUGUUUUGUUUUCCUCUGGCCUCCAGCAAGGGGGCAAUGGGGGUGGUUGAAUUGCAGAGCUAAGCUGCCUAGUAAGAAAAGGGAAACCAAGGCAGUGUCUGUGACUUCACACAGGAGAGUUUCUGGUUCACUGUUACAAGAACCAAUUCUCCUGCUGGUUCAGGCUGAUUUAACAGAGCCAGUCUGGGCCAGUCCUUUGUACAAAGAGGCAGCAUUUUGACAAAGGGAAAGGAAAUCCUGGAGACAUACUGAAAUAAAUGAGAGCAUAAGGGGAAAUAAACAAGGUUGAGGUGAGGGGAGAUUACCUCUUCCUACCAUUGUUCUUCUCUUCCUGACUUUGACCCUUGGCACAGUUAUUUGGUGAAGUUGCAGGGUCUCACAAACCUAACUCACGAUAAAGUGCUGCUAUUCCUGGGCACAAAACCAGUUUGAUCCAUGCCCCAGAAAAACUGGAAUCUCAGGCUGUCUGAAUUACAUCCCACCCUGGGCUCAGCACCAACUCAACCCUUUCCUCCAGACUGCUCGUCUCCUGGUUUAUAAAUCAUUUGGCCCUGAUUGAUGGCAGCUGCCUUGACACUCCAGCCUGGGAGUGAAAAAGAGUCAGUCCAGUCCCCCUACUCUAAUCCAUUAUUCAUACAAAGUGAAACAGCUUCGACAGGCGAGAGUGAGAGAGCCCUGCCCCAGGA
Molecule: long non-coding RNA, 1498 nt
Organism: Mauremys reevesii (Reeves's turtle)
Lineage: Eukaryota; Metazoa; Chordata; Testudines; Geoemydidae
Exons: 4
Source: RefSeq, a predicted model, not a curated record